AGUUACAGCUCACCAGCCUCCACCAAUUGUGCAAUAUUACUACUCCUUCGCCCAAUUCCGACCCCACCUUCAAAAAUUCAUCCUCCCAAUCCAAAUAAUUUUUCCAAAAAUUAAUCAUCGGAAAACCCUAAACCGGCCGGCCAUGGGAGACUCUCAUCGGCAUUCUUCUUCAGUCCAUCAAGCUCUUGGCUGUGGUUCUGUUGCUGAUGUGUUGAUGUGGAGGAGAUGGGGUACAAGCGUUGCCGUGCUUGUGGGUUCAACCACUCUUUGGUUCCUUUUCGAACGGGCGGGUUAUAAUCUUUUAACCUUCAUUUCCAAUGUCAUCUUGCUUCUCGUUGUAAUACUCUUCUUCUGGGCUAAAUCUGCAUCGCUUCUUAAUAGACCUCUACCUCCUCUUCCUGAUCUGGUGGUUUCGGAGGAAACUGUGACCAAGGCUGCUGAUGUUACGAGAGGGUGGAUUAACAAUGUGCUGUUGAUUGCACGUGACAUUGCUAUUGGUGGGAACUUGAAGCUCUUUGUUCAGGUUGCUGCAGGAUUGUGGCUGGUGUCAUACAUUGGCAGCUUUUUCAACUUUCUUUCUUUGCUAUACAUUGGGGUUCUUCUUAGUCUCUCGCUACCUUUUCUGUAUGACAAGUACCAAGAUCAAAUCGAUACCAAGUUGGUGGUGGCUUAUGAUUCUGUUCAGGUGCAGUACAGAAAGCUUGAUCAUAAAUUGUUGAGAAAGAUUCCAGGCAUGCUGAACAAGGAAAAAAAGACACAAUAGAAUAGACUUGGUAUGAAGUUGGCGGCUAUUCUGGGAUAAUGAUUUCCUAGAUGCAAAUGUUGUUUUACUCUUACUUGGGCCAUUUUGCUGGGCACUUAUAGCGUGGGUGUUUACUUGCCAUUAGGGGUAUUAACAUGAAGACUGGAUAGACCAAUAUUGUCUUAAGCGGCUCCUGAUAAAAGCUAAUCUUGUAUUUUUCACACUUACUGUAACCAAUUCCUGAUAACUGUGGGUGAUACAACAUAGUGUGGCUUUGAUGCACUUGCUUCUUCCACCGGAUAAAAAAUUCUCUGGCGAUUUUGGUUUUGGUUGUGCAAAUGAGUGUUUUGAAGGGUUAUGCCCAUUUAGAUGUACCUGGAUUCCCAUUAGGAAAACUAUCAACCCAUCAGCUUGAAAGAUCCCAUUGGAGGAGGCUUCCCUUAAAGCUUGGAUCUACCUAUUGUGAUUGUAAACAUUAAUUUCUCUUGUUAAUCCAUAUUGUUAUGAACAUUCCGCCGAGUGUUCAACCAAAUAUGAUUGAUGUGCAUAAGCAGAUAAGGAAAAAUUUGUCCUAGAGUUGAACCA
This is a non-coding RNA of Coffea arabica (coffee), 1327 nucleotides long. NCBI's taxonomy places the organism in Eukaryota, Viridiplantae, Streptophyta, Magnoliopsida, Gentianales, Rubiaceae. The record is from RefSeq and is a predicted model, not a curated record.